Long non-coding RNA from Entelurus aequoreus (snake pipefish), 6212 nucleotides. RefSeq lists it as uncharacterized. NCBI's taxonomy places the organism in Eukaryota, Metazoa, Chordata, Actinopteri, Syngnathiformes, Syngnathidae. The transcript has 2 exons. The record is from RefSeq and is a predicted model, not a curated record.
UCUACCAAGAAAAGUGCACUUGUUAUUAGUGAGAAUAUACUUAUUUUAAGCUAUUUUGGGGUUAAUUGAGGUUAGCUAAUUAGGGACCCCUUUGGGACAGAGGACCCUAUUGUAUUUGUAGCGUUUUAUUAUUAUACCCCCUUAACAUGCUUCAAAACUCACCAAAUUGGACACACACAUCAGGACUGGCGAAAAUUGCGCUCUAGCGCCCCCUAGGAAGAAAACACAGACAAACAAACAAAAACCUCUAUGUAGGUCUCACUUAGACCUAUAUUUCAUAUACUGACAACACCUGGCAAAAAUCAACAGGAAGUUUGCAAUUCCCCCUUCAAAACAAAAGUUGUGUAAAAACAGUCACCUUUUUUCAAACAUUAUCUCCUCUGAGCGCGUUUGUCGUGUCGGCUUCAAACUAGCACAGGAGAGAGAUUGAACCCUUCUGAUUAAAAGUUGACAAACGAGUUUUAAUUACUGCUCCGGUUUGGAUUUUAUGAGCCUUCAAAGUCGGUCCCGUCCAUCACUGCUUGCAGCUUUAAUUAGGGUCCGCCCUGUACCCUGUACAAAGGAACAUAUUGUUAUUGUAAGGUUUUAUUAUUCUUUCUUUAUUCUUCCGCAGCUUGGCGCACUACUUUGCCCCCCUUAACAUGCUUCAAAACUCACCAAAUUUUUUACACACAUAAAAAACCGCGAACAAAACUCUUUAGUAAAAAAAACAAACCCCAAAAAUCAAAACUGCGCUCUAGCGCCCCCUAGGAAGUAAACUGCCUCUAACUCCCACUAGGAAGGCCGUAGAGACAUGAAACAAAAACCUCUAUGUAGGUCUCACUUAGACCUACUUUUCACAAUUUUAACAUCCUCGGGUAAAAAUCAACAAGACAAAAAAUUACUAAAAACACUAAUUUUUGCCUCUUUGAGCUGUAAUUUCAAUCCCUUAAAAUACUUCAAAACUCACCAAACUUUUCACACACAUCGGGACUGGUGGAAAUUGCGAUCUAAAAAAAAACCUAACCCCAAAACUCAAAAUUGUGCUCUAGCGCAAUUUUUGAAUAAAACAGAGACAAAACUGCUCCUCAGAGGAAAACUCUGACAAAACUGCUUGUAACUUCCGGUAGGAACGUCUUAGAGACAUGAAACAAAUACCUCUAUGUAGGUCACACCUAGACCUACAUUUUAUAGAUUGACAUCCUUCAGCAAAAAUCAACAGGAAGUUUGCAAUCCCUCCUUCAAAACAAAAUUUUUGUUAAAACCGGUCACCAAACAUCAAACAUUAUCUCCUCUGAGCGCGUUUGUCGUUUCGGCUUCAAACUGCUACAGGAGAGAGAUUGAACCCUUCUGAUUAAAAGUUGACGACGGCGUUUCGUUAAGAGCUACCGUUUAGAUUUUACGUGCCUUCAAAGACCCGCAGCACUAAAGCUGCACAGUCUUCAAAGAAAACAACCACUGUGCCGCAACACCUAGGAAAAAAACACAGACACAACUUCCUCUAACUCCCAGUACGAAUAUCGUAGAGACACGAAACAAAAACCUCUAUGUAGGUCUCACUCAGGACUACCACUGGACAAAAGUAUUGGGACGCCUAGGACUAGCACCUGCCAAAAUGCGGACCCGACCAACGCUGCUUGCAGCUUUAAUUAUUAUUAUUCUUUAUUAUUAUUAUUCUUCCGCAGCUUGGCGCACUACUUUGCCCCCCUUAACAUGCUUCAAAACUCACCAAAAUUUACACAUACAUACAAAAACUGGGACAGCACACUUUAGGCAAAAAAACCAAACCCCAAAAAUCAAAAUUGCGCUCUAGCGCCCCCUAGGAAAAAACAAAAACAAACUGCGUGUAAUUCCCACUAGGAAGGUCGUAGAGACAUGAAACAAAAACCUGUAUGUAGGUCUCACUUAGACAGGCAAAAACCAACAGGAAGUUGGCAAUUUCCCCUUCAAGACAAAAAAUGACUAAAAACACUAAUUUUUGCGUUUUUGAGCUGUAAUUUGACCCCCUUAAAAAACUUCAAAACGAACCCCAAAAAUCAAACUUGCGCUCUAGCGCCCCCUAGGAAAAAACAAAAACAAACUGCGUGUAACUCCCACUAGGAAGGUCGUAGAGACAUGAAACAAAAACCUGUAUGUAGGUCUCACUUAGACCUACAAUUCAUAAUGACACAUCUUCGGGCAAAAACCAACAGGAAGUUGGCAAUUUCCCCUUCAAGACAAAAAAUGACUAAAAACACUCAUUUUUGCGUUUUUUGAGCUGUAAUUUGACCCCCUUAAAAUACUUCAAAACUCACCAAACUUUUCACACACAUCGGGACUGGUGGAUAUUGCGAUCUAAAAAAAAAAAAACGAACCCCAAAACUCAAAAUUGCGCUCUAGUUUUACUUGUUUUGGAAAGUCUCGACAUGCCAAAUUUUCUUGUUCUAUUGGCAGAUAAUUUGGCUUAGUUCAAAUAAAAUACCCCUCAUUUUUGUAUUAUUUUUUCUUGUUUUUGAACACUGACUUUUUGCAGUGAGAAGAAUGAUCUUAAUCAGGCAGAAAAUAAGCAAAUAUCAGCCUUAUUUGAGAUAUUUCAUCUUACUUAAGAUUUUUUGCAGUGUAGAUUGAUGCAGUUUCUUUAAGAUUGGUGCUCCCAACCUAAGUUAUUAAUAUUUAAGAAGUAUUUUUGCCACUUUAAAUGAUAAUGAUAAAUGGGUUAUACUUGUAUAGCGCUUUUCUACCUUCAAGGUACUCAAAGCGCUUUGACACUAUUUCCACAUUUACCCAUUCACACACACAUUCACACACUGAUGGCGGGAGCUGCCAUGCAAGGCGCUAACCAGCAGCCAUCAGAGGCAAAGGGUGAAGUGUCUUGCCCAAGGACACAACGGACGUGACUAGGAAGGUAGAAGGUGGGAAUUGAACCCCAGUAACCAGCAACACUCCGAUUGCUGGCACAGCCACUCUACCAACUUCGCCACGCCGUCCUUUAAUGUUUUAUUCCAAAGUAAAAUCAAUAUAACUUAGGUUAUGGAUGUUCUCUAGAGUCGAACCAUAUUCUAUAUGUGGAAACAUUUCAUUAACGGUGCUUUGGUACUUUCUUUUUUCUCCAAUUUUUGUUGUAAUAUUUCAGUAUGUGUGAUAAGAGUUUGCAUGAAAGACUACCAUACAGUACAGUACAGUACAGUACCAGACGGGCUCAUGUUCCACACACAAAGGCUGUUUAAUUCUUUGUAUCACUCUUUGUGUGACAUGGUCUAACUUGUUCAGGUUUGCCUCUCCAGCUCAGUGCAAAAACAAAACUAUUGUCCUUUUUUCCUUUUGUAUCAUUGUAAAUAUUGUGGUCAUGAACUCAGAAGUGCUUUACUGCUGCUAGUAGAAAGAGUGUUAAAGCCUUAAAAAUGUACAUUUUGUGAAUACUGUCGUGUUGCGGUCCUUUAAAGUGACAGUGUCGCCAUCGGAUGUAGCAUACUUGAACGUACAAGCGGCUCCGCUCUUUUGUUAUCCUCGACUAACUCCAAAAUCUGUCAGCUCCCGUAGAAAUGUGCAAAAACAGAAUACAAAUAUUAGGGCCCACCUCAAGGAAAUAACUCAGGAAGAGUCAUUGAAGUCACGCUCGGAGCCUUUUUCUUUGUUUCGUGUCGUACUUGCACAGUGUUUUCCGUACAUUAGGAGUACUUUGAGGUAGAUGAUGUCAUCCCUUUCUGCUUUUCCCUUCCGAGUUGCCUUCGCCAAUGACGGCGUGUCGUUGUUGUUGUUUAUUCACGCGGCAUAUACCAAAUUGUGCUCUGAUGCUGUCACUCUAAAGGAGCUGGUGGUCGUAGAGAAGGAAAAGAAUGCAGUUUUCCCUCGUCUUACAUUCCCCCUUUUUUUGUUGGUCCAAAGGUUGUUUACUCGUGUGUGAAUAAUUCUCAUAAGCAGUGCCAUUUGUGUUGAGAUUAUGUUUAUAGACCUAGGCCUUGUUGGAAGUGUGUGUGUGUGUGUGUGUGUGUGUGUGUGUGUGUGUGUGUGUGUGUGUGUGUGUGUGUGUGUGUGUGUGUGUGUGUGUGUGUGUGUGUGUGUGUGUGUGUGUGUGUGUGUGUGUGUGUGUGUGUGUGUGUGUGUGUGUGUGUGUGUGUGUUGUAUUUCUACCCUUCUUGAGACGUCAACAAGGAAAAGUAUCUUCCAUAGGAGAAGGAGAAGUGAUGACAUAAAUCAUGCUCCCAAUAACAUUGCAUCUAAUAGAGAAUGUCUGGUCAACAUAUGAAAUAACAAGUGUGUGUAAGGAAUUUAAAUGCGCCCUGUUUCGCCAAAAUGAAUUAAAUAAUUUUUUUAUAAAUAUGUAUAUAGAGACAUACUGUAAUUGUGAAUUAAGUAAUAACUUGAAGUAAAUAAUAAAAAUUAAAAACCAAUUAGAAACAAAAAAUUAAGCUUACCUAUUUUAUAUUUGCACAAUAUGUAUAUAUUAUUGAUGUAAAAAUGUGUAGUACUCCCCCUCUGGUCAACAAAUGAAAUAACAAGUGUGUAAGGAAUUGAAAUGCGCCCCGUUUGGCCAAAAUUAAUUGAAUUUUUUUUUUUUUAUAAAUAUGUAUAUAGAGACAUACUGUAAUAACUUGAAGUAAAUAAUGAAAAUUGAAAACCAAUUAGAAACAAAAAAUUCAUUAAAAAAAACUAAAAGCUUACCUAUUUUAUAUUUGCACAAUAUGUAUAUAUUAUUGAUGUAAAAAUUUCAAGUGCUCCCCCUCUGGUCAACAAAUGAAAUAACAAGUGUGUAAGAAAUUGAAAUGCGCCCCGUUUGGCCAGAAUUGAAAUAUUUUUUUUAUAAAUAUGUAUAUAGAGACAUACUGUAAUAACUUGAAGUAAAUAAUGAAAAUGAAAAACCAAUUACAAACAAAAAAUUCAUUAAAAAAACCUAAAAGCUUACCUAUUUUAUAUUUGCAUAAUAUGUAUAUAUUAUUGAUGUAAAAAUUUCAAGUGCUCCCCCUCUGGUCAACAAAUGAAAUAACAAGUGUGUAAGAAAUUGAAAUGCGCCCCGUUUGGCCAAAAUUAAUUGAAAUUGUUUUUUUUUAUAAAUAUGUAUAUAGAGACAUACUGUAAUAACUUGAAGUAAAUAAUGAAAAUUAAAAACCAAUUAGAAACAAAAAAUUCAUUAAAAAAAACUAAAAGCUUACCUAUUUUAUAUUUGCACAAUAUGUAUAUAUUAUUGAUGUAAAAAUUUGAAGUGCUCCCCCCUCUGGUCAACAUAUGAAAUAACAGGUGUGUGUAAGAAAUUGAAAUGCGCCCCGUUUGGCCAAAAUUUUAAUAUUUUUUUUAUAAAUAUGUAUAUAGGGACAUACUGUAAUAACUUGAAGUAAAUAAUGAAAAUUAAAAGCCAAUUACAAACAAAAAAUUCAUUAAAAAAAACUAAAAGCUUACCUUUUUUAUAUUUGCAUGGUUUGUAUAUAUUAUUAAUGUAAAAAUUUGAAGUGCUCCCCCUCUGGUCAACAUAUGAAAUAACUGAGUGAGUAAGAAAUUGAAAUGUGCCCCCUUUGGCCAAAAUUAAUUUAAAAAAUAAAAGUUUUAUAAAUAUGUAUAUAGAGACAUACUGUAAUAACUUGAAGUAAAUAAUGAAAAUUUAAAAACCAAUUCCAAACAAAAAAUUCAACAAAAAUAAUUAAACGCUUACCUAUUUUAUGUGCACAGUAUGUAUAUAUUAUUAAUGUUGUGAAUACAAAUCUUUAUAUACUGUAUCUAGAAGGGGUGGUCCCAAAAAGGAGGGAUUUUUCAAAUUGACUGUGUGUCGCUUUUAAAAGUGCUCCCCCACUGGCCAAAAUUAAUUUAAAAAAGUAAAUAAAUAUGUAUAUAAAGACAUACUGUAAUAACUUAAGUAAAUAAUGAAAAUUAAAAAACAAUUCCAAACAAAAAAUAAUACAAAAACUAAAAGCUUACCUUUUUUAUAUUUGCAUAGUAUGUAUAUAUUAUUAAUGUUGUAAAUACACAUCUUUAUAUAUCUACAAAGGUGGUCCUAAAGAGGGAGGCAUUUUUCAGAGGUCUCAAGAAGGUAACAAAUACAAGAGUGUGUGCGUGUGUGUGCGUGUGCGUGUGUGUGUGUGUUGCUUCCUACUGUUUCCGGAUGUUUAGCUUUCUGCAAGGAGGCAGCCAUGUCCACUUGUUGGCCACAAGAGGGCGCUGUGUCAAAAGAAAAAUGACAACCAUUAACUUUUUCCAUGGAUUUUAAAGCUCAUAUCAAUGUGGAGGAAUGCACAGUGCUGGUAAUAAAACAUGUACGAAGCUGA